Molecule: unclassified non-coding RNA, 213 nt
Filed under: Hevea brasiliensis (rubber tree)
Lineage: Eukaryota; Viridiplantae; Streptophyta; Magnoliopsida; Malpighiales; Euphorbiaceae
Source: RNAcentral
GCAGCCACAAUGAGAGCUGUGCAAAUGAACGCCAUGAAUGAGAAAGCUGUGUAUCAAAAGUGCCUAGAGGAUCUGCAGAAAUUGGAAGAAUUGGAUGAUACUGAGUUUACAAAGGCUGUUAAUGUUCUUAAAGAUGAUAAGAAUGCAAUUGCAUUCAUGACAAUCAAAGGGCCUCGACGCUUGAUGUGGCUGAGGUCUCUAUGGCAAGUCUAG